AUUAAAAUAACUAGAUAUAUUAAAAUCUUAAUUUUAUAAUUAAAACAUUAUUAAAUUUAGUAAAGGGGAUUAAAAAUUAUUUUAUAUCUUUAAAUUAAAGUACUGUGAAGGAAUAAUUUUAAUUACAUAAAAGAAAAAAUUAAGUUUU
RNAcentral lists this ribosomal RNA (148 nucleotides) under Cryptogemma periscelida. RNAcentral's name for it is "Gemmula periscelida partial large subunit ribosomal RNA". The record is from RNAcentral. Lineage: Eukaryota; Metazoa; Mollusca; Gastropoda; Neogastropoda; Turridae.